GUCCUGAACCUUGGAGACAUUAUUUGAAAUUCACACAUUUCUUCAGCCAAGUAGCUUCUGCUAUAAUUAGCAAUACGUGCUUCUCUUUUGUUGUUGUUUUUUCAGAAGAUGUACUCGCCUACAAAUUUUUUUUUUAUUCUUUGAAAGUCUACCAGGAAAAAAAAAAGAGUUAAAAAGUUAUUUCCAGAUGCUCACCCCUCCCCUCCCCCCAUGCUUUCACUGGUAGUCAAGGAUAUAAACUACAGUAUGCUUAAGGGUCACCUGAUCUCUUGAGCCAGCUUGAUCUAGCUGCUCUUGGCCUUGUUCAGACUGAAGACCUAGAAGAGAUCAUCAAACUUGCCUUAAAUAAACCCUCUCAACUAGAUGGUCACAGCCCCUCCUUGCAUCUUCUUCUCCCAGUCUGUCUCCCUGUGAGUCUGUGAGUUUGCUCCAUUCCCCUCAGAACCAUACCUGUGGUCCCCAUUUGUUUUUUGUUUUUUACCAGCCUUGCUACUGGAGUAUCUGACAAAUCAGUCAAGGUCUCAAGAGUCUCUCAGGGAGACUGCAACACUGGGGACUCAAGGAAAGUGUAAUAAAGAGUAGAACCACUAGGGGGCAGCAUGGUGGGACCACAGAGCAUCUACCUUUCUGAGUGCCUUUAACCCCACUUGUGAGAGAGCUGCUUAUCUUGGUGUUGACAAAAUGCCUGACGAUUGUUGAAAGCAAUCCUGCUCAACUUCAUUUGCUUUUAGACAUGGGCAUAUCUGAUUGCUGCCCAGCCAUAUUACCAAGCCUCACUUUGCUGGUACUACGGAAGCUUUUUGCCACCCUAAAAUUCCUGGAAUUGGGGCAUUGAUAUGUGCCAAUAAUCUAUGUCCCUGCCUCACCCAAAUGCUUACACGGGCCCAUACACACAUGUAGCUGGAUGUCAAGAGUAGAAUGUUGACUAGGAACUGCCUGGAAUUCAGAACAAAGAGGACAGUAUGAAUUUGAAUAGCUCCCACUAGAUAAGCAAUUUCCACGAGAACCUACCAAAAGCUAAAAAGCCACAGAGCUUCGUGAACCAAAGCAAGACUCCCUCUGCAUUAGUGAAAGGCUUACCGCCAUAGCAUCUUCCUUAGGGGUAGAAGGAUGUAAUGGAACUUUGUUGUCUUCCAAACCAAUGCAAAUGCAGGGCUUCUCAGCUCCCUCCCCUGACAGUAGGCUCAGGAAACCAAUAGAUGACUGUUUCCAGCUCCCAAGCAGUAUUCCCGCUGCAUCAGACGCAAGGUGUUUGGCUGUGACUUUAGUCUGAACUUCGUGUAGCCUUGGAUGAUGUUUGUCCAUCUGCCUCCGUGAAGGAAGGAUAUUAUUAUUGCCUUAAUGUAAAAUGAAAAUAAAUCAUGUUAAAAAAAUCUUUCCG
RNAcentral lists this long non-coding RNA (1381 nucleotides) under Mus musculus (house mouse). RNAcentral describes it as "long non-coding RNA chr14:75229435-75230816". The record is from RNAcentral. Lineage: Eukaryota; Metazoa; Chordata; Mammalia; Rodentia; Muridae.